This 641-nucleotide ribosomal RNA is filed under the name uncultured bacterium. Its description in RNAcentral is "bacterial SSU rRNA". It matches the Rfam family "Bacterial small subunit ribosomal RNA", at positions 37 to 696 of the family's 1533-position model. The record is from RNAcentral.
UGGCGGCAUGGCUAAAACAUGCAAGUCGAACGAGAAAGCACUUCGGUGCGAGUACAGUGGCGAAAGGGCGAGUAACGCGUACCUAACGUACCUCCAGGUGAGGGAUAGCUCGGGGAAACCCGUGGUAAUACCUCAUAACCCCGUAAUGUCGUAUGGCAAAUCGGGCAAAGGCUUGCUGCCUGGAGAUCGGGGUGCGUCCUAUCAGCUUGUUGGUGAGGUAACGGCUCACCAAGGCUUAGACGGGUAGCGGGUGUGAGAGCAUGACCCGCCGCAUCGGGACUGAGACACUGCCCGGACUCCUACGGGAGGCUGCAGUAACGAAUAUUCCGCAAUGCGCGAAAGCGUGACGGAGCAAUGCCGCGUGUGGGAUGAAGCAUCUAGGUGUGUAAACCACUGUCAGGGACUAGGAAACAUUUGACCAGAACCCAAAGGAAGAGCCGGCUAACUCUGUGCCAGCAGCCGCGGUAAUACAGAGGGCUCAAGCGUUAAUCGGAAUCACUGGGCUUAAAGGGUCCGCAGGCGGGUUGGAAAGUAUCUUGUGAAAUACCACGGCUCAACCGUGGAAUUGCUCGGUAAACUUCCAACCUUGAACACGACAGGGGCUAUCAGAACUCUAGGUGGAGCGGUGAAAUGCGUAGAUA